AGCGAACGCUGGCGGCAGGCUUAACACAUGCAAGUCGAGCGGGCACUUUCGGGUGUCAGCGGCGGACGGGUGAGUAACGCGUGGGAACGUGCCCUCUGGUUCGGAAUAACUCAGGGAAACUUGAGCUAAUACCGGAUACGCCCUUUUGGGGAAAGGCUUGCUGCCGGAGGAUCGGCCCGCGUCUGAUUAGCUAGUUGGUGAGGUAACGGCUCACCAAGGCGACGAACAGUAGCUGGUCUGAGAGGAUGAUCAGCCACACUGGGACUGAGACACGGCCCAGACUCCUACGGGAGGCAGCAGUGGGGAAUAUUGGACAAUGGGCGCAAGCCUGAUCCAGCCAUGCCGCGUGAGUGAUCAAGGCCUUAGGGUUGUAAAGCUCUUUUAUCCGGGACGAUAAUGACGGUACCGGAGGAAUAAGCCCCGGCUAACUUCGUG
This 435-nucleotide ribosomal RNA is filed under the name uncultured bacterium. RNAcentral's name for it is "partial 16S ribosomal RNA". It matches the Rfam family "Bacterial small subunit ribosomal RNA", at positions 29 to 507 of the family's 1533-position model. The record is from RNAcentral.